Molecule: ribosomal RNA, 264 nt
Filed under: uncultured bacterium
Lineage: Bacteria
Description: partial 16S ribosomal RNA
Rfam family: Bacterial small subunit ribosomal RNA
Source: RNAcentral
GUCCACGCCCUAAACGAUGCGAACUGGACGUUGGGUGCAAUUGAGCAUUCAGUGUCGAAGCUAACGCGUUAAGUUCGCCGCCUGGGGAGUACGGUCGCAAGACUGAAACUCAAAGGAAUUGACGGGGGCCCGCACAAGCGGUGGAGUAUGUGGUUUAAUUCGAUGCAACGCGCAGAACCUUACCUGGUCUUGACAUCCACGGAACCUUGCAGAGAUGCGGGGGUGCCUUCGGGAACCGUGAGACAGGUGCUGCAUGGCUGUCGU